UAGAAAUGACUUCCCCACCGGCGUCCAGCGGGGGAGCGACGGGCCCGGCGGAGACGCGGCCGCCCCUUCGGAGGAGACCUGCGCCCGGCACCGCGGGCACCUCCCCGCUCCAGACCUGACUGGAAGUUCACAGACUGGGAUAUAGUGGGAAGACGCAGGACAUCUCUGUGCAGGCAAGGAGAGAGCUUGUGCGACAUUCUGCAGCAAAGAUAAGAAACUCCCCAUUCGGCAUGAGCAGCGCAGGAGAGGAAGGUGGAGGGGGCUUCUUCCUGGCUAACCUCCCCUUUCCAGUUCCCCCGGUCUCCUCCCCUCUCCCCGGGAUCAUCCACCCUGCAUGGAGUCCUCAACGAGUGCACGCGGAAGACAAAAAAGAGCGGCUGAGAAAGGCAGCGCCCGCGAACACAAAAUCUGCCACGCCAGGCCAUGUUUGCUGCCGUUUGUAGGCUGCUAGGUGCCAGGAAGCCAUUUUGAUGGAAUCAAGUGCUGUGUGUAAGAUGGCCGCAUUGGCAUGAGAUUCCUGUCACCGGAGACGGUAAAGAACAUGGGACGCAUUGAUUUCACCAGAGCCGAAACUGCGCUUUGCAUCUGUCAAUUUACCAGCAACUCACCCCUUGCUAACAGCUCCAAAAAGAGGCUGCUUUCCACAACGGGCCUCGAGGGCUUCUGGAUUGUGUGUGCAACCCUUGUGGGUUUUGGAGGGUGAGGGCUGGGGGCCAGCGAGCACCUUGGUUGUGCAUGUGUUGCAGGAGGUCUUUCUUGGGAGCCUUUUGUGCCUGCCUACCUUUCCUGCUGCUUUCACAGAACCCCCUGG
Gavialis gangeticus (Gharial) is the source of this 811-nucleotide long non-coding RNA. RefSeq lists it as uncharacterized. NCBI's taxonomy places the organism in Eukaryota, Metazoa, Chordata, Crocodylia, Gavialidae. The record is from RefSeq and is a predicted model, not a curated record. The transcript is spliced from 4 exons.